Molecule: long non-coding RNA, 318 nt
Filed under: Panax ginseng (ginseng)
Lineage: Eukaryota; Viridiplantae; Streptophyta; Magnoliopsida; Apiales; Araliaceae
Description: long non-coding RNA (PGIN_LNC005993)
Source: RNAcentral
UUUUAUUUAAGGAUUUUAUCUUGCUUAGUGGAGCCCACAUGAGUUAGUAGUCUAUUUUGAAAAGGAGUCUUAAAGAAGCUAUUGGGUCUUAUCCUUAAUUAUCUCCUUUGUUCCUGUUUAACACAGUUGAUUGUGGGUAGAAUUUCUCUCCUUUAUUUCAGCUCGUCAAAAUCAAAUAGCAGGCGUAUAAUUGCUUUCUGGUAAUACAAAGCUGCUGAAAUUAUGGAUGAUUGCUAACGGGACUGAGAUUUCUUUGCUAACAGAUUUUAUAGCCGUUGGGUCUCUCUUUAUAUAUAGUCUUAUCUCACAGCUAAGCAG